GGGAAGUGUACCUAGGGUUCCGCCCCGCUUUGGCGGGGGACUGGACCAAGCGGUACAGGCCGCCGGUGAAAAUUUCACGGCGGUUACACCGUGGGGAUAAAAGACCCGAGCGGA
Molecule: small RNA, 114 nt
Filed under: Desulfofundulus kuznetsovii
Lineage: Bacteria; Bacillati; Bacillota; Clostridia; Eubacteriales; Peptococcaceae
Description: Desulfotomaculum kuznetsovii Guanidine-I sequence
Rfam family: Guanidine-I riboswitch aptamer
About the family: This family represents a conserved RNA structure found upstream of the ykkC and yxkD genes in Bacillus subtilis and related genes in other bacteria. The function of this family is unclear although it has been suggested that it may function to switch on efflux pumps and detoxification systems in response to harmful environmental molecules.
Source: RNAcentral